Molecule: ribosomal RNA, 383 nt
Filed under: uncultured bacterium
Lineage: Bacteria
Description: bacterial SSU rRNA
Rfam family: Bacterial small subunit ribosomal RNA
Source: RNAcentral
ACUCCUACGGGAGGCAGCAGUAGGGAAUCUUCCACAAUGGACGAAAGUCUGAUGGAGCAACGCCGCGUGAGUGAAGAAGGUUCGCUCGUAAAACUCUGUUGUUAAAGAAGAACAUAUCUGAGAGUAACUGUUCAGGUAUUGACGGUAUUAACCAGAAAGCCACGGCUAACUACGUGCCAGCAGCCGCGGUAAUACGUAGGUGGCAAGCGUUGUCCGGAUUUAUUGGGCGUAAAAGCGAGCGCAGGGUCGGUUUUUAAGUCUGAUGUGAAAGCCUUCGGCUCAAACCGAAGAAGUGCAUCGGAAACUGGGAAACUUGAGUGCAGAAGAGGACAGUGGAACUCCAUGUGUAGCGGUGAAAUGCGUAGAUAUAUGGAAGAACACCA